Pseudophryne corroboree (corroboree frog) is the source of this 954-nucleotide long non-coding RNA. RefSeq lists it as uncharacterized. The transcript is spliced from 4 exons. The record is from RefSeq and is a predicted model, not a curated record. NCBI's taxonomy places the organism in Eukaryota, Metazoa, Chordata, Amphibia, Anura, Myobatrachidae.
UUUUUAUAAUUUUUACCUUAUUUAAAAAUGCUUUUAAGGUAUGUCAGAGGCACCGCUCUCGGUGCCUCCCGCUAUCUGUGAGAAAGGACCGGAAGCGGGGGGCGGGGCCAAGCAUUGGGCGGUGAAAGCCCAUUAAAAAAAGAAGCAAAAGUGGCACUUACUGGAAGUGCCGCUUUGACAGGGGCGUGCUUUCAGCCCAUAUGAGAGCACGCCCCUGUCACUAAUACACUGCUCCCGAGUCCCUGCCUACAAGCUCCAGCAGCCAGCUCACCCCCUCCCCUCUACUUCUCUACCGGUGUCCGCUCCACCCCUCUCCCCACGCAGGUGCGCACCUCCCCGGCUGAUGACGCUGACCUCACCGGCCCUGCUGCCGGCUCACCUCUCCGCUGCCGCCGGUCCCCGCAAGUACUGACGAAAUCCUGCAUUUGCCCCUGUAAUCUGCCCGUGUGACUGCGUGUGGUGACCAGGAGACAGCCGAAGUCAUGUCCCGGGACCCUGAAGCCAUGGCCACGAUCACUGAGAACACCUACAAGACUACGUCCUCACUUAAAUAAGCAUUAAGCAGUGGGACAGAAUUGCGGAGGUUAUGCGUCAAUCCCACCGUCUGGUCCUCUUGUGAAUACAGGAUGAAAAACACAUUUGCUCAACAGCCAGGCUAUGAAUCCGUACAACCUUGGUAUGGGUAGCAUAUCCGACCAGGAUAAUCCAAUUAUCCCAUUCAACCUGAUGGCGAUUGAGAGGUGCUGCAAAGAGGAAUGAGCAAAAAUGCCCAAAGAUAGGUGCGCCAAGCUUGUGGUAUCAUAUUCAAAAAGACUUGAGACUGUAAUUGCUGCCAAAGGUGCAUCAACAAAGUAUUGAGUAAAGGCUGUGAAUACUUCUGUACAUGUGAUCUUAUUUUUUUUUUUUUUUAAUAAAUUAGCAAAAAUCACAAAAAUAAAAAAUGUCACAUUGUUA